CCCUUAGAUGUCCUGGGCCGCACGCGCGCCACACUGAGCGUCUGAGAUACGAGUCUGCCUAGCCGGCGAGGUCUAGGUAAUCGCUGAAAGACACAUCAUGCUUGGGAUAGAUUAUUGCAGAUAUUAAUCUUGAACGAGGAAUUCCUAGUAAGCGCAAGUCAACAGCUUGCGUUGAUUACGUCCCUGCCCUUUGUACACACCGCCCGUCGCUACUACUGAUUGGAUGUUUAAGCGAGGUUCUCGAACUGCUAGCGACUUAGCUUCGGUGAGGUCGCCGUGUGGGAAGUGAACCUAGCUUUGGUGUCUAGAGGAAGUAAAAGUCGUAUCA
RNAcentral lists this ribosomal RNA (328 nucleotides) under uncultured eukaryote. RNAcentral's name for it is "partial 18S ribosomal RNA". It matches the Rfam family "Eukaryotic small subunit ribosomal RNA", at positions 1470 to 1796 of the family's 1831-position model. The record is from RNAcentral.